CAAAUUAAAUAUACAUUUUAAUCUAAUAAAGUUUUUUUUUCCCCACUAGUAUUACUUAUUUCUUUCUUUACUUUACAUCCUAGUAUUGUACUGUAACAUUGGUAAUUGAAUUAUUAUUUUUGGUUUUCAGCUAUGCGUGCACCAUAUUGCGUACCACAACCACAAAGUCAUGAAAUAAGCUAUUACCCUCAAAAUCCAAAAGUGCUUCUACCUGCAGUAGGUUAUAGAAGGAACCAUGCUGAGAAAGUUAUGUCAAACUCAAAUGGCAUGUCAAAUAUCUGCAAUAGUCCAAUGGUAUAUAAUGAAAACAUGCAACAGAGAAUCCUAAACCCUAAUUAUGACUUUGGUUACAGUAAUCAAGAAACAUUGGAUUUGUUUCCUCUGCAUCCAACUGGCAUAUUGGAAGGGAAAUCAACUGACCAGGUGUCUUCUAUUGUUUCAGUUUCUGCUGAUAGUUCCACUGAUACACAUUCUGGUUCUUCUCAUCAUGAGAUCAAUCAAGAUCAUGGUUAUAAUGGGAACAAACCCUUCUUUGACUUUUUUAAUAAUUCUGCAGGACAAGGUUCUUAGGAUAGUUUGCAAGUUUUUUUUAAUGUUUUCUUGCUAUAAGUACAAACAUGCAAUUUCUAGUUUUCCACAUUUUCUUAAUCAAUGAAAUUAGUUUAUGUUCUUUAGUUUAUUAGUAGUACUAUAUUUUAGUAUUUCCACCUUUUUUUAAUUUAAAGAAAAAUUAAAGUACUAUAUAUAGAGUUGACAUAUUAUGUGAGUAUGGAGUAUUUUAUUUCCAUGUUUCAUGCACAACGUCCAUCCAUAAAACAAUUCUUUUUGCAGGCUUUGAAAACAUAGAAAUUGAAAUAUAUGUUUCAGUUUGUGCAUGCCACUUAUUUUAUUGGUGGAAAUGGAAAAGAACAACUAGCAAAUGGAGAAAAUUUGAGAACAAACAUAACACUUGAUCCUUAUUGACAUAUAUUUUUUUUAACAUCAAACACAAAUUUUAUUGAUCCUUAUUGACAUAUUUGGAGAUUUUUUUUUUUUUUAUUUCUAAAGUAAGAAUUCAUUCACCCAAACAAAUCUUUCUACAUUUGUAGUUAAUACACAAAUACUUGGCAAAUUUAAUUGGCGGACAAUCAUCAUCAAUUUGACAUUCAAUAAGUGCUGUAAUAAAAAAGAGAAUAAAAUAUUGUUACUAAGAAGAUAUAAAAAGACUAUGUAAGAUUAAAGAAGGAAAUUCGAAAGUCGACCAAAAAAAAAAAUAGGAAAUUUGAAAACAAUGAAAAAAUAGGUCACAACUCACCGCUGUCUAUGUUCGUUGCCAUAAGAAAUAAGGAAAGAAAUAUAAUCAUAGCAUACACAAACUUAAGAGUUUUAGCCAUAUUUUCCUAUCAAACCAUGUAGCAAUAGAAUAUUAUUUGAUCAUUUUAUAGUGUAUAAAGUGCAUGUUGAGCUAAAUACAUUAAAAUACUUUUAGAACUUAAGGUGCUAUAAAAAAACCUCUCUAAAAUUAGAACUGAUAUUAAGUGUCUCUUAAAAACAUUGAGGGGUAGUGUUUGACCCUUUAUCACAAUUAAAUGUUAUUUGCAAAUAAUUAGAUUUCAUUCUUUUUUUACUUAACUUUUCAUCUUUUGAUGAUAGAAAGGGGAAAUUUAAAAAUAAUAAUAAUGCACAAUCUGUGUGACAAAUAUUUACGUACAAGUUUUUUUAUAAGAAAGUUACGUACAAGUUAAAAAUAAAUCAUUUGACCAUAGGCGAAUGAAUAUAAAAUUUUGUUGUUACAUGAUUUUUCCAACAUUCUCAUUCACAAUGAUAUAAAAAAUAUAUUUGGAUCUACGAAAUCACACUACAUUUUUUAAAGAGACUUCUUAUUGGUGCUUUGUAAGUUCCUAAUUUGAUUUGUCCCUAAACCAAGUGUAUUAAUAUACAAAAUAAUUCGGUAUUGAAUACUAUAUAAAACAAUAUUUUGAAAAGAUUUUCUUUUUUUUAAGACAUAAACUCCAAGU
This 1997-nucleotide long non-coding RNA is filed under the name Medicago truncatula (barrel medic). RNAcentral's name for it is "long non-coding RNA (MTRU_LNC001928)". Lineage: Eukaryota; Viridiplantae; Streptophyta; Magnoliopsida; Fabales; Fabaceae. The record is from RNAcentral.